UUCCACUCUGUGCUACUUAUGACAGAGCGAUGAAUUUGAACGGCUUGUCAACCAGAAAGAAGAAGGGUUUCUACUGAAAAUGUGUUUUGCACGGACCUGGAGCCUUUUAGCGAAAGCAAGUAGUGAAAUUUACCGAUUACCCUGGAGAGUAAAAAUGGCUAUAUUUCUACUCGACAAACCUAAAUAACUAUGGCGUCUUGGAAUGAAGAAAAUCUAUGCUAUGGAUACAAACAUGCAUUUUAUGGAUGAAUCUUAUUCACACCUAUUCUAACUGAGUGCCUUUGAAUGUGUGCUUUUUGAAACUAUGCUAUAGAACCUUGUGAAGGUGUGUGUUUUAUUUUCGUAUGUUUACUUCUGAGUGAUUAUGCUAUGUAUUAUUUACAAAAUAAAAGUGAAAGUGAGUGGUUUUCAA
Long non-coding RNA from Aedes aegypti (yellow fever mosquito), 412 nucleotides. RefSeq lists it as uncharacterized. The transcript has 2 exons. NCBI's taxonomy places the organism in Eukaryota, Metazoa, Arthropoda, Insecta, Diptera, Culicidae. The record is from RefSeq and is a predicted model, not a curated record.